This 465-nucleotide ribosomal RNA is filed under the name Vreelandella stevensii. RNAcentral describes it as "partial 16S ribosomal RNA". It matches the Rfam family "Bacterial small subunit ribosomal RNA", at positions 338 to 795 of the family's 1533-position model. Lineage: Bacteria; Pseudomonadati; Pseudomonadota; Gammaproteobacteria; Oceanospirillales; Halomonadaceae. The record is from RNAcentral.
CCUACGGGAGGCAGCAGUGGGGAAUAUUGGACAAUGGGGGGAACCCUGAUCCAGCCAUGCCGCGUGUGUGAAGAAGGCCCUCGGGUUGUAAAGCACUUUCAGUGAGGAAGAACGCCUGGUGGUUAAUACCCAUCAGGAAAGACAUCACUCACAGAAGAAGCACCGGCUAACUCCGUGCCAGCAGCCGCGGUAAUACGGAGGGUGGGAGCGUUAAUCGGAAUUACUGGGCGUAAAGCGCGCGUAGGUGGCUUGAUAAGCCGGUUGUGAAAGCCCCGGGCUCAACCUGGGAACGGCAUCCGGAACUGUCAAGCUAGAGUGCAGGAGAGGAAGGUAGAAUUCCCGGUGUAGCGGUGAAAUGCGUAGAGAUCGGGAGGAAUACCAGUGGCGAAGGCGGCCUUCUGGACUGACACUGACACUGAGGUGCGAAAGCGUGGGUAGCAAACAGGAUUAGAUACCCUUGUAGUC